GACGAACGCUGGCGGCGUGCUUAACACAUGCAAGUCGAACGGAAAGGCCCCUUUGGGGGUGCUCGAGUGGCGAACGGGUGAGUAACACGUGAGUAACCUGCCCUUGACUUCGGGAUAACUUCAGGAAACUGGGGCUAAUACCGGAUAGGAAUCCUUGCUGCAUGGUGGGGGUUGGAAAGAUUCGGCGGUUUUGGAUGGACUCGCGGCUUAUCUGCUUGUUGGUGGGGUAGUGGCUUACCAAGGCUUUGACGGGUAGCCGGCCUGAGAGGGCGACCGGCCCCAUUGGGACUGGGGUACGGCCCCGACUCCUUCGGGAGGCAGCAGGUGGGAAUAUUGCACCAUGGGCGGAAGCCUGAUGCAGCAACGCCGCGGUCGGGAUGACAGCCUUCGGGUUGGAAACCGCUUUCAGCAGGUGCGAAGCUUGUGGUGACGGUACCUGCAGAAGAAGCACCGGCUAACUACGUG
This 465-nucleotide ribosomal RNA is filed under the name uncultured bacterium. Its description in RNAcentral is "partial 16S ribosomal RNA". It matches the Rfam family "Bacterial small subunit ribosomal RNA", at positions 28 to 507 of the family's 1533-position model. The record is from RNAcentral.